CCGAGUGAGGGCUCCUUCGUGAGCCCAACCUCCCACCCGUGUUUUAAACAUACCCUGUUGCUUCGGCGGGCCCACUGGGCUUCGGUCCGGUCGCCGGGGGGCCUCUGUGCCCUCGGGUCCGCGCCCGCCGAUGCGCCUCAUGAACCCUGAUGAAUAUGGGCUGUCUGAGUUAUAAAUGAAAAUUGUCA
RNAcentral lists this unclassified non-coding RNA (188 nucleotides) under uncultured fungus. RNAcentral's name for it is "sequence contains ITS1, 5.8S rRNA gene". Lineage: Eukaryota; Fungi. The record is from RNAcentral. RNAcentral also lists the same sequence under 1 other name.